Molecule: non-coding RNA, 74 nt
Organism: Podarcis lilfordi (Lilford's wall lizard)
Lineage: Eukaryota; Metazoa; Chordata; Lepidosauria; Squamata; Lacertidae
Source: the annotation of a GenBank genome assembly
UGCAGAAUAGCUCAGUGGGUAAAGCAUGAGACUCUUAAUCUGCAGGUCAUGGAUUCGAGCCCCAUGCUGGGCAA